UACGUAGGGGGCGAGCGUUGUCCGGAGGUACUGGGCGUAAAGGGCAUGCAGGCGGUCAGGCGCGUUUUGUGUGACAGCGGAUGGCUUAACUAUCCGAGGAUACGAGAUACGGCGUGACUUGAGAGCGCGAGAGGGACACGGAAUUCCGGGUGGAGUGGUGAAAUGCGUAGAGAUCGGCAGGAACACCCAGGGGGAAACCAGUCGACUGGGCAUCUACUGACGCUGAGGAGCGAAAGCGUGGGGAGCGAACAGG
Molecule: ribosomal RNA, 253 nt
Filed under: uncultured bacterium
Lineage: Bacteria
Description: partial 16S ribosomal RNA
Rfam family: Bacterial small subunit ribosomal RNA
Source: RNAcentral